This 72-nucleotide transfer RNA is filed under the name Dipodomys ordii (Ord's kangaroo rat). It matches the Rfam family "tRNA". Rfam says of the family: Transfer RNA (tRNA) molecules are approximately 80 nucleotides in length. Their secondary structure includes four short double-helical elements and three loops (D, anti-codon, and T loops). The record is from Rfam by way of RNAcentral. Lineage: Eukaryota; Metazoa; Chordata; Mammalia; Rodentia; Heteromyidae.
GGGCAGGUGGCUCAGUGGUAGAGUGCUCACCUUGCAUGUGUGAGGCCCUGGGUUCGAUUCCUCAAUCCCCCA